Molecule: unclassified non-coding RNA, 21 nt
Filed under: Mus musculus (house mouse)
Lineage: Eukaryota; Metazoa; Chordata; Mammalia; Rodentia; Muridae
Description: oocyte_clustered_small_RNA10512
Source: RNAcentral
CACACCUAUGUCUCGGAUCAU